CUAGGUAAUAUGCUUUUUCUGAGGUUAAAGAAACAUCCUAGAGAAAGGAGAUAUCUUCACUUUGGCUAUCUGUCCUUUGUCGCCUUCGAGAAGAUGGCAUUUAUGGUUCAACCUCUGUACCUAAAUCUAUAACUAAUGACCAUAUUCUAUGCCAGCAUCAGACCAACAUUCAAUUGGUCAAGCAGGGUUAUAUGCUAAUGAGAAUAUACAACCACAAGAAAUUGCUACAUCUAUCAACCAAAAGUCAACCCUUCUUCAUGAUUUUGUUAGGAUUUCAUGUACUUUGAAAGCUUGCUCAUCUAAUGAUUGUGCAGUGAAGAAGCUUCGUGUUGGAGGAUCAUAAACCAAAUACUUCAGCAAUGCCAUGCUACUUUUGGAAUUUGGAAAGAACUUUGUGGACGUAUAUGAAGUAAUUUUGGUAUUAAAUAAUCGGGAAUAAUUUGCUAUCCAAGGGUCAGGGCAACAUAACUAUUUUAAGUUUGUACUCUUUUUGUAUGCUUUAAGUUUGAUAUGGUUGUCUUAAUGUCACUACUACAGUGUGAAUUUGUUCAUGACCUUAAAGGUGUUAUGUAACCUUAUUUGCUCCUAACCAUAUAUUUAAUUAUUGAGAAAGACACAUAUAGAAGCAUAAAACCAUUUUAUUCUAUAUUCUCCUCUGUUACGACCCUUCAAACAUUUAUCAGCAGCAUUCCUCCUUGUGCUAAAUCAGUUAUAUGGCAUGCUUUGCUGUAUAUUCCAAUUCAUAUAGACAUUAUUUCAGUUCCUCUUGACAUUGAUUUAUAAUUUUUACACCAUCAUUCAUGCUAUUACAGAUCGCGUUCAAGGAAAAUUAUAGAGAACAUAUGUUCAGUUUCAAAUUCAGAUAAAAGUCAGCACAAGUUGUUGUGUUGUACCCCCAAGACAACUCAAUCAUCUUAGCUCUGGUUUUGUUAAUCACUUGCCUUUGUAUCCUGGCUUUGUCCAUAAUAUCUUAUACUGAUGCAGUGUAAAAUUCAGCACCUUCGCUGCUGAAUUGCAAUCUUGACUGAGGUUAGAAGGUUGCCUGUGGGUGAUGGCAUUUGGGUAGCUCACCAUAAGUAUCUUGAUAGUGAAUAAAUUCUUGAUUUUAUAGUUGAAAGGAAGAAGGUUGAGGAUUUUCGUCGCUCAAUAAGAGACAAUCGAGCUAAGAGAAUGAGGCUCGUGGCUUAAGAAGAUGGUAUAUCUGGUGGAAGGUGAUCAAAAUUCCUCUGAGCCAGCUGAAAGCAUCAAACCAGUUUGCUUCACGACUAAGAUCUUCGAGGGGUUUGAUGUGCAAAGAACAAGUGGCUUAGCAGACACGUUAAAAAAGUACAGUUAUCUUACUCGGUCAAUAAACCGGCACAACAAAUCGCUAGAUACUGAGCAAAAUUCUGUUGAGGUUUGCCCUCCUUUUGACGAAUUUAUCAAGAUGUGUGACGAGUUGGACAAAACGACAGUUAGUGAUGUAUUUGCCGUCCACCUCAUGCAGAUAUUAGUGAUACUUAAGGCAUAUAGUCAAUGUAAUUGUGUUAUUUUCCCUAACUUUAACACCCCUUACAACAUUAUACUUAAUUACCACUAAUAUAUCAUAACA
This is a non-coding RNA of Sesamum indicum (sesame), 1591 nucleotides long. NCBI's taxonomy places the organism in Eukaryota, Viridiplantae, Streptophyta, Magnoliopsida, Lamiales, Pedaliaceae. The record is from RefSeq and is a predicted model, not a curated record.